This 300-nucleotide ribosomal RNA is filed under the name uncultured Glomus. RNAcentral describes it as "SSU rRNA". It matches the Rfam family "Eukaryotic small subunit ribosomal RNA", at positions 569 to 874 of the family's 1831-position model. The record is from RNAcentral. Lineage: Eukaryota; Fungi; Glomeromycota; Glomeromycetes; Glomerales; Glomeraceae.
AGCAGCCGCGGUAAUUCCAGCUCCAAUAGCGUAUAUUAAAGUUGUUGCAGUUAAAAAGCUCGUAGUUGAAUUUCGGGGUUAGUAGGUUGGUCAUGCCUCUGGUAUGUACUGGUCUCACUGAUUCCUCCUUCCUGAUGAACCGUAAUGCCAUUAAUUUGGUGUUGCGGGGAAUUUGGACUGUUACUUUGAAAAAUUAGAGUGUUUAAAGCAAGCUAACGCUUGAAUACAUUAGCAUGGAAUAAUGAAAUAGGACGUUCGAUCCUAUUUUGUUGGUUUCUAGGAUUGACGUAAUGAUUAAUA